Molecule: unclassified non-coding RNA, 380 nt
Filed under: soil metagenome
Description: partial contains 5.8S ribosomal RNA, internal transcribed spacer 2, and large subunit ribosomal RNA
Rfam family: 5.8S ribosomal RNA (bases 1-120)
Source: RNAcentral
GAUGAAGAACUCAGCGAAAUGCGAUAAGUAAUGUGAAUUGCAAAAUUCAGUGAAUCAUCGAAUCUUUGAACGCACCUUGCGCUCCUUGGUAUUCCGAGGAGCAUGCCUGUUUGAGUGUCAUUAAUAUAUCAACCUCUUCAGCUUAUGCUUGUUGAGUGUUGGAUGGUGGGGGUUUGCUGGUGUCUUAUGAAGUCAGCUCCUCUGAAAUGCAUUAGCGGAACAAUUUGUUGACCGUUCAUUGGUGUGAUAAAAAUAUCUACGCUAUUGACGUCAGUCAGUUCAGCUUCUAACAGUCCAUUGACUUGGACAAAUUUUUCAUUAAUGUGACCUCAAAUCAGGUAGGACUACCCGCUGAACUUAAGCAUAUCAAUAACGGAGGA